This 747-nucleotide ribosomal RNA is filed under the name Shigella sonnei. RNAcentral's name for it is "partial 23S ribosomal RNA". It matches the Rfam family "Bacterial large subunit ribosomal RNA", at positions 442 to 1190 of the family's 2925-position model. Lineage: Bacteria; Pseudomonadati; Pseudomonadota; Gammaproteobacteria; Enterobacterales; Enterobacteriaceae. The record is from RNAcentral.
AUAUGGGGGGCCCAUCCUCCAAGGCUAAAUACUCCUGACUGACCGAUAGUGAACCAGUACCGUGAGGGAAAGGCGAAAAGAACCCCGGCGAGGGGAGUGAAAAAGAACCUGAAACCGUGUACGUACAAGCAGUGGGAGCACGCUUAGGCGUGUGACUGCGUACCUUUUGUAUAAUGGGUCAGCGACUUAUAUUCUGUAGCAAGGUUAACCGAAUAGGGGAGCCGAAGGGAAACCGAGUCUUAACUGGGCGUUAAGUUGCAGGGUAUAGACCCGAAACCCGGUGAUCUAGCCAUGGGCAGGUUGAAGGUUGGGUAACACUAACUGGAGGACCGAACCGACUAAUGUUGAAAAAUUAGCGGAUGACUUGUGGCUGGGGGUGAAAGGCCAAUCAAACCGGGAGAUAGCUGGUUCUCCCCGAAAGCUAUUUAGGUAGCGCCUCGUGAAUUCAUCUCCGGGGGUAGAGCACUGUUUCGGCAAGGGGGUCAUCCCGACUUACCAACCCGAUGCAAACUGCGAAUACCGGAGAAUGUUAUCACGGGAGACACACGGCGGGUGCUAACGUCCGUCGUGAAGAGGGAAACAACCCAGACCGCCAGCUAAGGUCCCAAAGUCAUGGUUAAGUGGGAAACGAUGUGGGAAGGCCCAGACAGCCAGGAUGUUGGCUUAGAAGCAGCCAUCAUUUAAAGAAAGCGUAAUAGCUCACUGGUCGAGUCGGCCUGCGCGGAAGAUGUAACGGGGCUAAACCAU